AGCAGCCGCGGUAAUUCCAGCUCCAAUAGCGUAUAUUAAAGUUGUUGCAGUUAAAAAGCUCGUAGUUGAACUUCGGGAUCAAUGGAUCGGUCAUGCCAUCGGUAUGUACUGGUCUCAUUGGUUCUCACCUUCUAAGGAACCAUAAUGUCAUUCAUUUGAUGUUUUGGGGAAUUAGGACUGUUACCUUGAAAAAAUUAGAGUAGUUUAAAGCAGGCUAACGCUUGAAUAAAUUAGCAUGGAAUAAUGAAAUAGGACAUCGCAUUCUAUUUUGUUGGUUUCUAGGAUCGAUGUAAUGAUUAAUAGGGAUAGUUGGGGGCAUUAGUAUUCAAUUGUCAGAGGUGAAAUUCUUGGAUUUAUUGAAGACUAACUACUGCGAAAGCAUUUGCCUAAGGAUGUUUUCAUUAAUCAAGAACGAAAGUUAGGGGAUCGAAGACGAUCAGAUACCGUCGUAGUCUUAACCAUAAACCUAAUGCCGACUAGGGAUCGGAUGAUGUUGAUUUUUUAAUGUACU
RNAcentral lists this ribosomal RNA (511 nucleotides) under uncultured Glomus. RNAcentral describes it as "SSU rRNA". It matches the Rfam family "Eukaryotic small subunit ribosomal RNA", at positions 569 to 1080 of the family's 1831-position model. Lineage: Eukaryota; Fungi; Glomeromycota; Glomeromycetes; Glomerales; Glomeraceae. The record is from RNAcentral.